This 439-nucleotide ribosomal RNA is filed under the name uncultured bacterium. RNAcentral's name for it is "partial 16S ribosomal RNA". It matches the Rfam family "Bacterial small subunit ribosomal RNA", at positions 339 to 795 of the family's 1533-position model. The record is from RNAcentral.
CUACGGGUGGCUGCAGUGGGGAAUCUUAGACAAUGGGCGCAAGCCUGAUCUAGCCAUGCCGCGUGAGUGACGAAGGCCUUAGGGUCGUAAAGCUCUUUCGCUGGGGAAGAUAAUGACGGUACCCAGUAAAGAAACCCCGGCUAACUCCGUGCCAGCAGCCGCGGUAAUACGGAGGGGGUUAGCGUUGUUCGGAAUUACUGGGCGUAAAGCGCGCGUAGGCGGAUCAGAAAGUUGGGGGUGAAAUCCCAGGGCUCAACCCUGGAACUGCCCUCAAAACUCCUGGUCUUGAGUUCGAGAGAGGUGAGUGGAAUUCCGAGUGUAGAGGUGAAAUUCGUAGAUAUUCGGAGGAACACCAGUGGCGAAGGCGGCUCACUGGCUCGAUACUGACGCUGAGGUGCGAAAGCGUGGGGAGCAAACAGGAUUAGAUACCCGGGUAGUC